ACGCUGGCGGCAGGCCUAACACAUGCAAGUCGAGCGGUAGAGAGAAGCUUGCUUCUCUUGAGAGCGGCGGACGGGUGAGUAAUGCCUAGGAAUCUGCCUGGUAGUGGGGGAUAACGUUCGGAAACGGACGCUAAUACCGCAUACGUCCUACGGGAGAAAGCAGGGGACCUUCGGGCCUUGCGCUAUCAGAUGAGCCUAGGUCGGAUUAGCUAGUUGGUGGGGUAAUGGCUCACCAAGGCGACGAUCCGUAACUGGUCUGAGAGGAUGAUCAGUCACACUGGAACUGAGACACGGUCCAGACUCCUACGGGAGGCAGCAGUGGGGAAUAUUGGACAAUGGGCGAAAGCCUGAUCCAGCCAUGCCGCGUGUGUGAAGAAGGUCUUCGGAUUGUAAAGCACUUUAAGUUGGGAGGAAGGGCAGUUGCCUAAUACGUAACUGUUUUGACGUUACCGACAGAAUAAGCACCGGCUAACUCUGUGCCAGCAGCCGCGGUAAUACAGAGGGUGCAAGCGUUAAUCGGAAUUACUGGGCGUAAAGCGCGCGUAGGUGGUUUGUUAAGUUGGAUGUGAAAUCCCCGGGCUCAACCUGGGAACUGCAUUCAAAACUGACUGACUAGAGUAUGGUAGAGGGUGGUGGAAUUUCCUGUGUAGCGGUGAAAUGCGUAGAUAUAGGAAGGAACACCAGUGGCGAAGGCGACCACCUGGACUGAUACUGACACUGAGGUGCGAAAGCGUGGGGAGCAAACAG
RNAcentral lists this ribosomal RNA (747 nucleotides) under uncultured bacterium. RNAcentral's name for it is "bacterial SSU rRNA". It matches the Rfam family "Bacterial small subunit ribosomal RNA", at positions 33 to 775 of the family's 1533-position model. The record is from RNAcentral.